GAUGAGCGCUGGCGGCGUGCCUAAUACAUGCAAGUCGAGCGAACGGACGAGAAGCUUGCUUCUCUGAUGUUAGCGGCGGACGGGUGAGUAACACGUGGAUAACCUACCUAUAAGACUGGGAUAACUUCGGGAAACCGUAGCUAAUACCGGAUAAUAUUUUGAACCGCAUGGUUCAAAAGUGAAAGACGGUCUUGCUGUCACUUAUAGAUGGAUCCGCGCUGCAUUAGCUAGUUGGUAAGGUAACGGCUUACCAAGGCAACGAUGCAUAGCCGACCUGAGAGAGUGAUCGGCCACACUGGAACUGAGACACGGUCCAGACUCCUACGGGAGGCAGCAGUAGGGAAUCUUCCGCAAUGGGCGAAAGCCUGACGGAGCAGCGCCGCGUGAGUGAUGAAGGUCUUCGGAUCGUAAAACUCUGUUAUUAGGGAAGAACAUAUGUGUAAGUAACUGUGCACAUCUUGACGGUACCUAAUCAGAAAGCCACGGCUAACUACGUG
RNAcentral lists this ribosomal RNA (497 nucleotides) under uncultured bacterium. RNAcentral's name for it is "partial 16S ribosomal RNA". It matches the Rfam family "Bacterial small subunit ribosomal RNA", at positions 28 to 507 of the family's 1533-position model. The record is from RNAcentral.